Small nuclear RNA from Ursus americanus (American black bear), 108 nucleotides. NCBI's taxonomy places the organism in Eukaryota, Metazoa, Chordata, Mammalia, Carnivora, Ursidae. The record is from Ensembl.
GUGCUCAGUUCAGCAGCACAUACACUAAAAACCGGAAUGAUACAGAGAAGAUUCGUAUGGCCCCGGCACGAGGAUGACACACAGAUUUGUGAAGCAUUUCGUGUUUUA